Molecule: non-coding RNA, 88 nt
Filed under: Streptomyces coelicolor A3(2)
Lineage: Bacteria; Bacillati; Actinomycetota; Actinomycetes; Kitasatosporales; Streptomycetaceae
Description: sodF sRNA
Rfam family: sodF sRNA
About the family: Identified in Streptomyces coelicolor. It is produced from sodF mRNA by cleavage of about 90 nucleotides from its 3'UTR.
Source: Rfam by way of RNAcentral
AUGUCCUGCUCGUGAUCGUCUUCUCACCUUUCACCGGGCAGGUGCACAACGAAGGGGCUCCCGCAAGCACUCCUGGCGGGGGCCCUUU